UGGGGAAUCCUGCACAAUGGGCGAAAGCCUGAUGCAGCGACGCCGCGUGCGGGAUGAAGGCCUUCGGGUUGUAAACCGCUUUCAGCAGGGACGAGGCGAAAGUGACGGUACCUGCAGAAGAAGCCCCGGCUAACUACGUGCCAGCAGCCGCGGUAAUACGUAGGGGGCAAGCGUUAUCCGGAUUCAUUGGGCGUAAAGCGCUCGUAGGCGGUCUGUUAGGUCGGGAGUUAAAUCCGGGGGCUCAACCCCCGUUCGCUCCCGAUACCGGCAGACUUGAGUUUGGUAGGGGAAGGUGGAAUUCCUAGUGUAGCGGUGGAAUGCGCAGAUAUUAGGAAGAACACCAGUGGCGAAGGCGGCCUUCUGGGCCAUAACUGACGCUGAGGAGCGAAAGCUAGGGGAGCAAACAGGAUUAGAUACCCUGGUAGUCCUAGCCGUAAACGAUGGACACUAGGUGUGGGGGAAUAUUUCUUCCGUGCCGCAGCUAACGCAUUAAGUGUCCCGCCUGGGGAGUACGGCCGCAAGGCUA
This 526-nucleotide ribosomal RNA is filed under the name uncultured bacterium. RNAcentral's name for it is "bacterial SSU rRNA". It matches the Rfam family "Bacterial small subunit ribosomal RNA", at positions 355 to 896 of the family's 1533-position model. The record is from RNAcentral.